UGGGGAAUCUUGGACAAUGGGGGCAACCCUGAUCCAGCCAUGCCGCGUGAGCGAUGAAGGCCUUAGGGUUGUAAAGCUCUUUCAGCUGGGAAGAUAAUGACGGUACCAGCAGAAGAAGCCCCGGCUAACUCCGUGCCAGCAGCCGCGGUAAUACGGAGGGGGCUAGCGUUGUUCGGAAUUACUGGGCGUAAAGCGCACGUAGGCGGAUAGUUAAGUCAGAGGUGAAAUCCCGGGGCUCAACCCCGGAACUGCCUUUGAUACUGGCUGUCUAGAGAUCGAGAGAGGUGAGUGGAAUUCCGAGUGUAGAGGUGAAAUUCGUAGAUAUUCGGAGGAACACCAGUGGCGAAGGCGGCUCACUGGCUCGAUACUGACGCUGAGGUGCGAAAGCGUGGGGAGCAAACA
RNAcentral lists this ribosomal RNA (402 nucleotides) under uncultured prokaryote. RNAcentral describes it as "bacterial SSU rRNA". It matches the Rfam family "Bacterial small subunit ribosomal RNA", at positions 355 to 774 of the family's 1533-position model. The record is from RNAcentral.